Molecule: long non-coding RNA, 635 nt
Organism: Ruditapes philippinarum (Manila clam)
Lineage: Eukaryota; Metazoa; Mollusca; Bivalvia; Venerida; Veneridae
Exons: 3
Source: RefSeq, a predicted model, not a curated record
UCUGCCUUUUACAGCUGGAGAAUUUGGUGGUUCGUGCAUAGAUUCAUCAGAAUGUAGUGCUCUCACAGAUGGUGGUUGUUUACAGGACGGUAAAAUCUGUGUCGUCUGCAAUGACGGAUAUCGUGUAAUUGAUAUAUAUUGUAAACAGGAUGGUCGAUUAGGUGGAUAUUGUGAUGACAAUGUAACGUGUGCAACCACUUCUCUUGACUGUAUCAACAAUGUAUGCGAAGAAAAAGAGCAAGACGAAGAAACUGACAAUACGCCACUUAUCGUGGGCGCCGUUAUCGGGGCUUGUGUUGGUGUAGCCCUGCUGGUUGGUGCUGGCUACAUUCUAUACAAAGUUUGUUGUGGUGUUAAAGCGACUUCUGUCGUCACACCUGCACCAUAUGUACGACCACCAGUGUAUUCAUUAGAACCCCCGCCAUAUUCUUCAUCCGGGGCAGCUGCAAACCAACAACCCCCAACGUCGUAUGCACACCCCACAGUUUAACGCCGUUAAUAUAUCAAACAAAAGAAAAAAGUUAAUAAUUACUUAAAAAGUACAAUGAAUGCAAGGAGAACUUGAACGGGAAAAAUACGGAAGUAAUUAUAAAAGAAGUAAUCUUACCAAAUAUAGCAAUAGCAAUACCUCUGGC